Molecule: long non-coding RNA, 484 nt
Filed under: Vigna radiata
Lineage: Eukaryota; Viridiplantae; Streptophyta; Magnoliopsida; Fabales; Fabaceae
Description: long non-coding RNA (VRAD_LNC016799)
Source: RNAcentral
UAGAACUUGCUAGGAUAGGCUUUAAUCAUGGCUCUGAUACCAUGUUACAAAAGUAGAAAGAAUGAAAUAUUGUAUUUCUUAUUGAAUGAUAAGGAGAGCGUACAACUGAUAUAUAUAAUUAUUCAGAGCAAUAUAAAAAAAGGGUUAUAAGUAUAAAAAUAUAUGAACAUAAAUGCACAGAUGUAAACAUAGAAUAAAAUAAUUCCAAUAAAAGCAUCGAGUCCAAUGCCGUCGGGAUGGUCGGGAACCGGCUUCUCUUAGUGGAAUGAAGUGAGGUGCACCAUUGACCGCGUCACAUCAAUCAACAUCGCUCUCUCUCCAGGGCAACGAAUACAGAGAAUUAUAUAAUGUUUCUUCCAUUCACUUCGGGCAUUCUCUUCGCGCAUUGCGUAUUCUCUUCUUCGCUCUCCCACCUCGCUCUCGGUAUAAUUACUUGUUUCCCUUCUCCUAAAUCCGAAUGGUCACCUCAUCCCUAUAUUCUCUC